UGCCAGCAGCCGCGGUAAUACGGAGGUUCCAAGCGUUGUUCGGAAUUACUGGGCGUAAAGGGAGCGCAGGCGGAUAGGUCAGUUCAAAGUGGAAUCCCAGGGCUCAACCCUGGAAGUGCUUUGGAUACUGCCUGUCUUGAGUUCGUGAGAGGAAAGUGGAAUUCAGGGUGUAGCGGUGAAAUCCGUAGAUAUUCGGAGGAACACCAGUGGCGAAGGCGGCUUUCUGGACCGAUACUGACGCUGAGACGCGAAAGCGUGGGGAGCAAACAGGAUUAGAUA
RNAcentral lists this ribosomal RNA (279 nucleotides) under uncultured bacterium. RNAcentral's name for it is "partial 16S ribosomal RNA". It matches the Rfam family "Bacterial small subunit ribosomal RNA", at positions 506 to 784 of the family's 1533-position model. The record is from RNAcentral.